CAAGGUAAGGGUGAGAUAAAUCUUAAGGGGUACUAGGCUAACAUUCAAAGAGACAAAAGAGACUUAAAAGAAACUGCGGGAGUUGAAUUUAUAAAAUAUUUCAUUCACUUCAACAACUCUAAAGUAAUUGUUUUCAUUCAUAUUUUUCUUCUCAUUUCUCUUUUUUUCUUCUUUUCUUCUUCUUUUCAUUAGGAGUGUGUAUGUAUUGAUAUGUAUACAUCCUUUUAUUUUAUUUUCAUUCAUUUUUUUUCUUUUCAUUUUUCUUUUUU
RNAcentral lists this long non-coding RNA (269 nucleotides) under Lathyrus oleraceus (garden pea). RNAcentral's name for it is "Pisum sativum (pea) long non-coding RNA (PSAT_LNC037121)". Lineage: Eukaryota; Viridiplantae; Streptophyta; Magnoliopsida; Fabales; Fabaceae. The record is from RNAcentral.